GUCAUUUAGACGGACGAGGAGGCUUACUGGCGUCUCAGGGGAACCCAAAAGUGGGUUCUCAAGGGGGACGCUAACACCGCAUACUUCCAGGCCAUCGCCAAUGGCCGUCGUCGCCGCAAUACCAUCCCACUUCUAUGGGAUGGUGAGACCCUCCUGCAGCACCCGGCCGAACUCCGCGCUCAUGUGGACGGCUUCUAUAAAGACCUUUUUAUGCCCCCCCGCGGGGUCUUGGCUCUUGCUCCUACCUUCUGGGUGGGCGACCAAUGUGUGUCGAACGCGGAGAAUGAGGCCCUCACGGCUCCAUUCUCGGAGGAGGAAGUUUGGCUUGCGAUUAAAGGCAUGAACUCGGCGUCCGCCCCGGGGCCUGAUGGCUUGCCAGUUAAGUUCUUUCAGACCUUCUGGCACACUAUCAAGCGGGAGAUCAUGGCCCUCUUUGAGGAGUUCUAUGUGGGCUCCAUUGACCUCCACCGCCUUAAUUACGGGAUUAUUACCUUGAUCCCCAAGGUCCCGGGUGCCGCCGACAUUCGCUAG
Molecule: ribosomal RNA, 531 nt
Filed under: Triticum aestivum (bread wheat)
Lineage: Eukaryota; Viridiplantae; Streptophyta; Magnoliopsida; Poales; Poaceae
Description: partial small subunit ribosomal RNA
Source: RNAcentral